GCCUCUACUUCGUAUUACGGGUUGGUAUCACUCACGUUGCCGGAAGUAAAAGGGAGUGUUACCUAACCUCCAUGGAGAACCAAGAAGCUGAAUAAUGUUGGCCCUAAUACGACGAGUAAAAGAACGUGGGCCGUAGAAGCUUAUGACUUGGGUUAACAGGUGGAACAUGAACGACGUCUGGUACGUCGACACCAGUAUUGACUAACAUGUAGCAAGGUCGUCAGAAGAACCCUAAUGACAAGGCGUCUUUCGGCUAGUGCAGAGGAGAAAAAUGCGGUAUAUAUACAUAAUGAGCCAACGUGGCAUCAUUUUGUUCUAUGACAACAUUGCUACCUACGACCACAUAACUCAUAAAUGGACCGGAUUCUGAGCCUCGUGAUACGGUUUGAACAUUGCAACUUACGACCAGAGAUACAUUGCUAGAAUGAUGAUAAGUGUUCCCGUACUCGUUCCACGACUCGUAGAUGUAUACGGGUUUGGCCACGGAUUUAUCACUC
RNAcentral lists this ribosomal RNA (497 nucleotides) under Triticum aestivum (bread wheat). RNAcentral's name for it is "partial small subunit ribosomal RNA". The record is from RNAcentral. Lineage: Eukaryota; Viridiplantae; Streptophyta; Magnoliopsida; Poales; Poaceae.